GCUUUAGUGGUGUAAUGGUAGCACACUCGGCACGUAUUCAAGAGGCACAGGUUCGAGACCUGGCAAGAGCA
Molecule: transfer RNA, 71 nt
Filed under: Stegodyphus mimosarum
Lineage: Eukaryota; Metazoa; Arthropoda; Arachnida; Araneae; Eresidae
Rfam family: tRNA
About the family: Transfer RNA (tRNA) molecules are approximately 80 nucleotides in length.
Source: Rfam by way of RNAcentral